GACGAACGCUGGCGGCGUGCUUAACACAUGCAAGUCGAACGGAAAGACCCUGCUUGCGGGGUACUCGAGUGGCGAACGGGUGGGUAACUCGUGGGUGAUCAGCCUUGCACUUCGGGUUAAGCCUGUUAAACUGGGUCUAAUACCUGAUAGGAGCCAUUUUUAGUGUGAUGGUUGGAAAGUUUUUUCGGUUUAGGAUGAGCUCGCGACCUGUCAGCUUGUUGGUGUGGUAAUGGCCUACCAAGGCGGCGACGGGUAGCCGGCCUGAGAGGGUGGCCUGCCAUACUGGGACCGAGAGGAGGCAGAGACUCCUACGCGAGGCAGAAGGGGGGAAUCUUGCCGGAUGGGCGCAGGCCUGAUGAAGAGAGGCUGCGGGGGGGAUGACGGUCUUCGGGUGGAAAACUCAUUUCGUUAGGGACGAUGCUUUUCGUGACGGUACCUAGAUAAGAAGCCCCGGCUAACUACGUG
Molecule: ribosomal RNA, 465 nt
Filed under: uncultured bacterium
Lineage: Bacteria
Description: partial 16S ribosomal RNA
Rfam family: Bacterial small subunit ribosomal RNA
Source: RNAcentral